AUGAAAUCCUUGAGUGUUUCACUAGUGGUCCUGUGGCUUCAAUUAAGCUGGGUGAGCAGCCAGCAGAAGGUGGAGCAGAUCCCAGAAUCCCUCAAUGUCCCAGAGAGAGCCAUGGCUUCUCUCAACUGCAGUUUCAGUGAUCGUAAUUCUCUGUACUUCUGGUGGUACAGACAGCAUUCUGGGAAAGGCCUCGAGGCGCUGAUGUCCAUCUUCUCCAACGGUGACAAGGAAGAAGGCAGAUUCACAGCUCACCUCAAUAAAGCCAGCCUGCAUGUUUCCCUGCACAUCAGAGACUCCCAGCCCAGUGACUCUGCUGUCUACCUCUGUGCAGUGAGCACACGGUGCUCCCCAGGCACCUGCAGCCUGCACACAAACAUACUGGGCCACAAAAUGCCUUAUAGAGAGCUCAGACCCCACAGUGGAGAAAUUCUGUUUCUAUUCUGUAUGCAAUGGGAAUUAAUAGCAAGAGCAGCAAGGGCUUGGGAUUGA
Non-coding RNA from Psammomys obesus (fat sand rat), 489 nucleotides. NCBI's taxonomy places the organism in Eukaryota, Metazoa, Chordata, Mammalia, Rodentia, Muridae. The record is from the annotation of a RefSeq genome assembly.